UGUUAAAAAUUUCCAUCCAUUUGUACUACCAAAAACUAAAAGGCUAAUGGAAUAACCAAGCAAUGACACUUGACAUGCCACGUGUAUCUCAUGAUGAUGUACAGAACUAGUUUUUAAUGGUAGGAAUGGGUGAAAUUUUUAACA
Molecule: non-coding RNA, 144 nt
Organism: Gossypium hirsutum (cotton)
Lineage: Eukaryota; Viridiplantae; Streptophyta; Magnoliopsida; Malvales; Malvaceae
Source: Rfam